RNAcentral lists this ribosomal RNA (467 nucleotides) under uncultured bacterium. RNAcentral's name for it is "partial 16S ribosomal RNA". It matches the Rfam family "Bacterial small subunit ribosomal RNA", at positions 28 to 506 of the family's 1533-position model. The record is from RNAcentral.
GACGAACGCUGGCGGCGUGCUUAACACAUGCAAGUCGAACGGAAAGGCCCUGCUUUUGUGGGGUGCUCGAGUGGCGAACGGGUGAGUAACACGUGAGUAACCUGACCUUGACUUUGGGAUAACUUCAGGAAACUGGGGCGAAUACCGGAUAGGAGCUCCUGCUGCUUGGUGGGGGUUGGAAAGUUUCGGCGGUUGGGGAUGGACUCGCGGCUUAGCCGCUUGUUGGGGGGGUAGUGGCUUACCAAGGCUUUGACGGGUGGCCGGCCUGAGAGGGUGACGGGCCACAUUGGGACUGAGAUACGGCCCAGAGUCGUGCGGGAGGCAGCAGGGGGGAAAAUUGCACAAUGGGCGGAAGCGUGAUGGAGCAACGCCGCGGGGGGGAUGACGGCCUUCGGGUGGGAAACAGCUUUGGCCUGUGUGGAGGCGUGAGUGACGGUAAUGGGUAAAGAAGCACCGGCUAAUUACGU